This 254-nucleotide ribosomal RNA is filed under the name uncultured bacterium. Its description in RNAcentral is "partial 16S ribosomal RNA". It matches the Rfam family "Bacterial small subunit ribosomal RNA", at positions 524 to 776 of the family's 1533-position model. The record is from RNAcentral.
UACGGAGGAUCCAAGCGUUAUCCGGAUUUACUGGGUGUAAAGGGAGCGUAGGUGGCAUGGUAAGCCAGAAGUGAAAACCCGGGGCUCAACCCCGCGGAUUGCUUUUGGAACUAUCAGGCUGGAGUGCUGGAGGGGUAAGCGGAAUUCCUAGUGUAGCGGUGAAAUGCGUAGAUAUUAGGAGGAACACCGGUGGCGAAGGCGGCUUACUGGACAGUAACUGACACUGAGGCUCGAAAGCGUGGGGAGCAAACAGG